RNAcentral lists this ribosomal RNA (471 nucleotides) under Veillonella parvula. RNAcentral describes it as "bacterial SSU rRNA". It matches the Rfam family "Bacterial small subunit ribosomal RNA", at positions 28 to 476 of the family's 1533-position model. Lineage: Bacteria; Bacillati; Bacillota; Negativicutes; Veillonellales; Veillonellaceae. The record is from RNAcentral.
GACGAACGCUGGCGGCGUGCUUAACACAUGCAAGUCGAACGAAGAGCGACGGAAGCUUGCUUCUAUCAAUCUUAGUGGCGAACGGGUGAGUAACGCGUAAUCAACCUGCCCUUCAGAGGGGGACAACAGUUGGAAACGACUGCUAAUACCGCAUACGAUCUAAUCUCGGCAUCGAGGAUAGAUGAAAGGUGGCCUCUACAUGUAAGCUAUCACUGAAGGAGGGGAUUGCGUCUGAUUAGCUAGUUGGAGGGGUAACGGCCCACCAAGGCGAUGAUCAGUAGCCGGUCUGAGAGGAUGAACGGCCACAUUGGGACUGAGACACGGCCCAGACUCCUACGGGAGGCAGCAGUGGGGAAUCUUCCGCAAUGGACGAAAGUCUGACGGAGCAACGCCGCGUGAGUGAUGACGGCCUUCGGGUUGUAAAGCUCUGUUAAUCGGGACGAAAGGCCUUCUUGCGAACAGUUAGAAGGA